GAAGAGGGAGAUGCAGACACUUUCUGGUGUGGGGUGGACAGGGACAUAAGUGUCCCCCAGGACCUGCUGGCAGUGACUAUUUUUCCAGGCUCAGUGACAGUAGCAAUGAGGACCACAGAGACAUCGCCCAGCAUGGGAGCCCUGGCUCUGACCAGCCAUGUGUCCAGCCCUGGCCUUCCUGCCUGGCCCUUCCUGCUCUCAGCGGGCUUCCUGUUCCUGGCCCUGCGGAAGGUCAUCCUCUUCCUGAGCUUCUGCUAUGCUGCAAUCUGGUUGGCCUGCCUUCAGUGUCACCUCUGAGGGCCGUGGGCAGCCCGGUCCAGAGAACCUGCGUCUCCCACCCCGGCGACUCCCUGUCUGGUGACACAGCUCCUGGCCUCUCUGCCUAAACUCAGCCCUGACAUCUUCCUGGGAUGUGAAAUUGGAAAUGAGUCGGAC
RNAcentral lists this long non-coding RNA (435 nucleotides) under Equus asinus (donkey). RNAcentral's name for it is "lncRNA (ENSEASG00005028774.1)". The record is from RNAcentral. Lineage: Eukaryota; Metazoa; Chordata; Mammalia; Perissodactyla; Equidae.